UGGGCUCCAGGGCGCUUGGUCGGGACCAGCGUGCGUCUCUCGCACUCCUGGGACCCGGCCUUGGGCCAAGCGGAGACCAGAGCAGGGCAGGGUGUGUGCGACCUGUCCCCGCGCCCCCUCCCCGAAGCAUCCCACCCACUCCCGAACAUCCGCUGGCCCUCAGUCCUGGGCUCAGGAAAAGGAGAGAUCAGGAAGCUGUGGUGUUUUGCCUCAGGCCAGCAACACCAGUUUGAUAUAAAGCGAAAGCCACACGGGGGAAACAGCCCGCUUUGGCAGAUGGAGUGGCUAUGGUAUCAAUAUGGGCAACAUGGACAGGUGUCUCAAUGAGCCUGGGGCUCGCUUUCGAGGUUACAGUGACUGAGCAGCAAGCACCAAAGGUCCUCCUUUCCUCCCCCUCUCCCAGCACUGGUCUGCUUCAGUGCCUAGCUUUUACAUGAUGCUGAGGACCUCAACUCACGUCUUCGUGCUUGCAUGGUGAGAACAUUUAUCUGUGGGGACAUCUCCCAGCCUGUUUCUGCAAGCAACACCCGAUGACACAUGUGCAAUUCUUGGAACUCAGUGGAAGGAGAAUACAAGUGCUGGAAGGUGUCACAGACAUAGACAUCACAACCCUCAACCACACCCAAAGAGUAAUAAUACAGCUUAAAACCCAAUACAGGUACUUGCUUUAGCAAAACAUACGUGCGGUUGAGUAAUAUGAUUCCUGCUACAUGAGUAAUAUGAUUCCUGCUCAAAAACUCAUAAGGUAAAACCACUGCCUUGCCAGAAGAGAACCAUGUGACCAUCCCAGUAUAUCUCCACCAGCAGAUGAUGGCAUUCACCACCUAUCCUUGAUCCACAUAACCUCUGAAAGCCAGGAGACAGCACAUCGGACCUAUGUUCUUCAGAGUGGAAGACCCCCUACAACACAGACAUGGUUGUUGCCCUCGGAAUGGGUACUUGGUUAGUUUUUUAAGAGUCAGGGUCUCACAUAUCCAAGAUUACACUUGAUCUAAAGAUCCACGUGAACUCUAAAUGCCACCAGAGGGACGAUGCCAGGUGGUGGUUGCCAAGAAAGCAACAUUUGCUCUAGAUCAUCACAAAAGCUACGGCAGGAUGCUAGGACUCUGAGACUGAGUCCAUAAAAUGAGACCCAGGAGCACAUUACAGGUAGUUGGACUAAGGGGUAUUGCUGAUAUGUGUCUCAGCCUGGGAUCUAGAACCUGGAACAAAGUCACAACAAAUACGAGGAACCACUCAGACCUAAAGUGUGCCUCACAGCACUUAGCAGGGGGAUGUGCCACAACUAAGUGCUAAUCCUGUCCUGCCACUUUGCAGCCAUAUGUACUUGGGAAAGAUAGUUGUGUCUGGGCUUACUUUGAUAUCCACCAAAUAAAAUGUAUUAAAAUAGCUAUUGCUAUGUAUUUAAA
This is a long non-coding RNA of Grammomys surdaster, 1409 nucleotides long. RefSeq lists it as uncharacterized. The record is from RefSeq and is a predicted model, not a curated record. Lineage: Eukaryota; Metazoa; Chordata; Mammalia; Rodentia; Muridae. The transcript is spliced from 4 exons.